Molecule: unclassified non-coding RNA, 1280 nt
Filed under: Daphnia pulex (common water flea)
Lineage: Eukaryota; Metazoa; Arthropoda; Branchiopoda; Diplostraca; Daphniidae
Source: RNAcentral
ACGAGAGAAUUGGGUGGAAGUGAUGGCAAAUCUAUAAAAUUCAAAAAUCGGAUGAGAUGCGAGUACCGCAAAAUGUGGUGUCGACUCUGACUCUCUUUUACUACGAACUUCCGUUCGAUGGAAGAUAUCGAGAGCUGAGCUGAGCGCCCGCUGUGUAUGGCUGGUGUAAUUACAAACGAGUUACGGUUGGAGCUAUAUCGAUUGUACGUAUCCCGAACGUUCAUCGAACAAGCCAGAUCAACUCGGCGCCCGGUAAGAUGUACGCUCAGUUAUGGCCAUGACACACGAAGGGAGAAUUCAAACGGCUGUGAGUGUACGGCCCGCCCGGAGUUGUGUGUAGGCAGUGACCUCUCAAGAAAAAACGUAAAAAAUUUUUUUUUGACAGUCACCGGUCUGCGACAAGUAAUCAGUACGAAACUUGGGUGCAAUGCAAAAAACAUUUUUGAGAAUCCUUGCUUGACAACAACGAAUCUAACACGAUAAAAAAACGAUCCCCAUNGGUGUACCGCUUGCUUUUCUCGCGCUUCGNGANAUNGCUUAUNCAGCUGCCCUUGGAAUAUGUUUCGUUUCGUGCAUACUUGAUCUCGGUCAUUCUUCGGGUGAACUCUUAAAGAAUUGCGCACUUUUAUAGGGGUAGUCUGGUUGCUUGUCUCGACUUGAAAUGAUUUGUUUUUUCCGCCCAUGACUUUCUAUACGAUGCCUCUAUGCUGGCCUCUGACCGCGGUUGUUCCGAGUUUUCUCUUUCUCUUCGAAAGUCUUUGCGGAAAAUUCUGCCUCGUGUGACCGUUGAGCGGUGAGGUGUGUGUGUGUGUGUGUGUCGUGCGGGGUGAUGCGAGAGUGUGCCUCGGCGGUGGAAAAAUAAAAAUAAAACUCUGAGCCCACAAAAAUUUAAAAGAUGUAUGCUUGUCAGCUUAGUAAAGCAGGCUUGACUUAUGAGCAUACAGCACGCCACAUAUGACCGUCGAAAACGUAAUACGGGAAAAAAGUUGAUGAAUAUAUCAAGACCGGUCGAAUGAAUCCGAUUCACUUUGGGCUCAUAGACCGUUGAAUGGUCUUUGACUUUGGAAAUUGAAAUGAAAAAAAUCCAACAAACGGAUCGGAUCGGUGUUUCUCUUCACUGGGACUCGCUGUGACACGCCAGGCGUUGCGAUCAAAAAUUUUAGUUUCCGAAGAAAAAGAAAAAAACGAAAAACGUGUUGAUUUGGUGUGUGUUUGGUGAUGCGUGGGCGAAAUAAAAACCCGCAACUCGCCGGAUGUACAUCAAACAAACAUACACGAAA